Molecule: long non-coding RNA, 265 nt
Filed under: Felis catus (domestic cat)
Lineage: Eukaryota; Metazoa; Chordata; Mammalia; Carnivora; Felidae
Description: lncRNA (ENSFCAG00000046368.2)
Source: RNAcentral
UCUCUGACAUUUGGCAAAGGGAGAAGGUCCAACCUGUGCAGGGCAUUAUGGAAUAUCCUCAUUAGAGAACCUAAAGAGUCAAUUUUCAGUUUUUCAGUUAUAAGGAACAUAUGGAAUCCACUGACUUCAGGAAAUAUUUUCAGAGUGCACACAUAUUUCUUCAAGACGUUAACAUCCCAGGGGAGAAGGAGGAAUAAAAACAUGACAGGGAGUAAUUUAAAAUGGCAGGUACUGCAGUUUUCUUUUCCUGUGCUGGAAACCUGAU